AUCCAGACUCCUACGGGAGGCAGCAGUGAGGAAUAUUGGUCAAUGGGCGCGAGCCUGAACCAGCCAAGUCGCGUGAGGGAUGACGGCCCUACGGGUUGUAAACCUCUUUUGCCGGGGAGCAACGGGCGCCACGUGUGGCGCCACUGAGAGUACCCGGAGAAAAAGCAUCGGCUAACUCCGUGCCAGCAGCCGCGGUAAUACGGAGGAUGCGAGCGUUAUCCGGAUUUAUUGGGUUUAAAGGGUGCGUAGGGGGUCCGUUAAGUCAGGGGAAAAUUUGGGGGGCUCACCCCCGUCGAGCCGUUGAAACUGGCAGACUUGAGUUGGCGAGAAGUACGCGGAAUGCGCGGUGUAGCGGUGAAAUGCAUAGAUAUCGCGCAGAACUCCGAUUGCGA
This 392-nucleotide ribosomal RNA is filed under the name uncultured bacterium. RNAcentral describes it as "bacterial SSU rRNA". It matches the Rfam family "Bacterial small subunit ribosomal RNA", at positions 329 to 718 of the family's 1533-position model. The record is from RNAcentral.